Molecule: transfer RNA, 71 nt
Filed under: Bacteriophage sp.
Description: tRNA-Gln
Rfam family: tRNA
About the family: Transfer RNA (tRNA) molecules are approximately 80 nucleotides in length.
Source: RNAcentral
UGGCCAAUAGCUUAAAGGUAGAGUAAUGGACUUUGACUCCAUUUGUGGCGGUUCGAUUCCGCCUUGGCUAG